CCUACGGGUGGCAGCAGUGAGGAAUAUUGGUCAAUGGCCGGAAGGCUGAACCAGCCAAGCCGCGUGAGGGAUGAAGGUGCCAAGCGUUGUAAACUUCUUUUGUCAGGGGACAAAAUCAGGCUCGAGACCCUGACCGAGGGUACCCGGAGAAAAAGCAUCGGCUAACUCCGUGCCAGCAGCCGCGGUAAUACGGAGGAUGCGAGCGUUAUCCGGAUUUAUUGGGUUUAAAGGGAGCGUAGAUGGGUUGUUAAGCCGGAUGUGAAAGUUCGCGGCUCAACCGUAGCAGUGCCAUUGAUACGGGGGGCCUUGAGUGCGGCGGAGGUAGGCGGAAUUCGUGGUGUAGCGGUGAAAUGCUUAGAUAUCACGAAGAACCCCGAUUGCGAAGGCAGCGUGC
Molecule: ribosomal RNA, 394 nt
Filed under: uncultured bacterium
Lineage: Bacteria
Description: partial 16S ribosomal RNA
Rfam family: Bacterial small subunit ribosomal RNA
Source: RNAcentral